This 25-nucleotide non-coding RNA is filed under the name Cricetulus griseus (Chinese hamster). RNAcentral also lists the same sequence under 1 other name. Lineage: Eukaryota; Metazoa; Chordata; Mammalia; Rodentia; Cricetidae. The record is from RNAcentral.
GAAGGAGGCAGAGGCAGGAGGAUCA